GACGAACGCUGGCGGCGUGCUUAACACAUGCAAGUCGAACGGAAAGGCCCUGCUUUUGUGGGUUGCUCGAGUGGCGAACGGGUGAGUAACACGUGAGUAACCUGCCCUUGACUGUGUGAUAACUUCAGGAAACUGGGGCUAAUACCGGAUAGGAGCUCCUGCUGCAUGGUGGGGGUUGGAAAGUUUCGGCGGUUGGGGAUGGACUCGCGGCUUAUCAGCUGGUUGGUGGGGUAGUGGCUUACCAAGGCUUUGACGGGUAGCCGGCCUGAGAGGGUGACCGGCCACAUUGGGACUGCGAUACGGCGCAGACUCCUACGGGAGGCAGCAGUGGGGAAUCUUGCACAGUGGGCGGAAGCCUGAUGCAGCAACGCCGCGUGCGGGAUGCCGGCUUACGGGUUGUAAACAGCUUUCGACUGUGACGAAGCGUGAGUGACGGUACUGGGUCAAGAAGCACCGGCUAACUACGUG
This 468-nucleotide ribosomal RNA is filed under the name uncultured bacterium. Its description in RNAcentral is "partial 16S ribosomal RNA". It matches the Rfam family "Bacterial small subunit ribosomal RNA", at positions 28 to 507 of the family's 1533-position model. The record is from RNAcentral.